This 331-nucleotide ribosomal RNA is filed under the name uncultured eukaryote. RNAcentral's name for it is "partial 18S ribosomal RNA". It matches the Rfam family "Eukaryotic small subunit ribosomal RNA", at positions 1470 to 1796 of the family's 1831-position model. The record is from RNAcentral.
CCCUUAGAUGUUCUGGGCCGCACGCGCGCUACACUGACGAAGUCAGCGAGCAUGUCCUACGCCGACAGGUGCGGGGAAUCUUGUCAAACUUCGUCGUGAUGGGGAUUGAUUAUUGAAAUUCUUGAUCAUCAACGAGGAAUUCCUAGUAAGCGCAAGUCAGCAGCUUGCGUUGAUUACGUCCCUGCCCUUUGUACACACCGCCCGUCGCGACUACCGAUUGAAUGGUUUAGUGAGAUCUUCGGAUUGGCGCCACUGCGGCUCAGCAAUGGGCUCGGUGGAUGCCGAAAAGUUGAUCAAACUUGAUCAUUUAGAGGAAGUAAAAGUCGUAACA